UACGUAGGUGGCGAGCGUUAUCCGGAAUUACUGGGUGUAAAGGGCGCGUAGGCGGGAUUACAAGUCAGAUGUGAAACUUCGAAGCUCAACUUCGAACGUGCACCUGAAACUGUAGUUCUUGAGUGUUGGAGAGGAAAGCGGAAUUCCCCGUGUAGCGGUGAAAUGCGUAGAUAUGGGGAGGAACACCGGUGGCGAAGGCGGCUUUCUGGACGAUAACUGACGCUGAGGCGCGAAAGCGUGGGUAGCAAACAGG
This 253-nucleotide ribosomal RNA is filed under the name uncultured bacterium. RNAcentral's name for it is "partial 16S ribosomal RNA". It matches the Rfam family "Bacterial small subunit ribosomal RNA", at positions 524 to 776 of the family's 1533-position model. The record is from RNAcentral.